UUUUUAAACAACAUAAAAUAUUUGAUCAAAUAAAUACUAUCCAAAUUUCUAUCUAAGGGCUAUUAUAUAAAUUCUCAUUUUCCAAAAUAUUCCAUUUUAUUCAGUUUUGCUUUGACCCUGUUGACCCUGUCUUUCAUGGGUUUUUUUUGUCUGUCCCUGAUAUUAAUUUCCACUCUGUUAGUGUCCCACUUUUGUCAACCUCAUGAUGAAUGAAUGAAAAUCAAAUUAGAUCCUCUUGUUUCUGCUCAGAUCUCAGCAUGUCUGGUAGACAUCUCAUCAUGGAGGUCAGCUCAUCAGCUGAAACUUAAUCCCAACUAAACUGAACUGCUGUUCAUCCCAGCUGAUUCAUCACCAUGUCUGGACAACUUUCUUGUCCCACCUUCAAGUACUGCACACAACCUUGGGGUGACCAUGAACAAUCAACUGUGCUUUUCCUCUCUCAUUGCUAAUCUGACCUGCUCAUGUCGAUUUCUCCUUUGCAACAUCAGAAGGACUCGUCCAUUUCUGUCCAUACGGGCCAUUCAGGUGCUGGGUCAGUGUCUUGUCAUUUUGAGACUGGACUACUGCAACUCACUCCUGGCAGGUCUGUCUCGGAGUGCCAUUUGACCUCUGCAACUGAUCCAGAAUGCAGCUGCUCGCCAUGUUUUCAACCUUCCUAACUUUUCCCACACCACCCCAUUGUUACGCUCCCUCCACUGGCUUCCUGUAGCUAACCCGCAUCAGAUUUAAAUCUAUGAUGCGUGUUUACAGAGCCAAAAAUGGACCAGCACCCAUUUACCUCAAAUCACUUAUCACACCAUGCACUGCACCACACUCCCUCCGAACCUCUAGCACCGCUACACUAGUGCCAUCAUCUCUCAGGGUACAACUAAGGCGUGCAUCAAGAUUCUUCUCUGUUCUGGCAUCUAGGUAACUUCCCCUAGAUGUCGGACAUCUAAAGACGUCCUCUUUCUAAAGCAGGGGUGUCCAAUCUUAUCCGCAAAGGACCUGUGUGGGUGUACGUUUUCAUUCCAAUCAAACAGGAGCCACACCUGAUUCCACCUGUUUAAUCAGUUGAGCUUGGCUUUCAGUAGAUUCAGGUGUGGCUCUUGCUUGGAUGGAAUGAAAACCUGAACCCCACACCGGCCCUUUGUGGAUAAGAUUGGACAUCCCUGUCCUAAAGUAUUUAAAUGAGCACACUUCAUUUAAAAAUAAAUAAAUAAUAAAUAAUUAUUCUAGCCUGUGCGUUUUUCUUACUAUAUUACCUCCCAACAGAAUUUUAAGACUGAUGGUAUUCUUAGGAUGUAUUUAUUUAUAGAGACUUCAAAGCUCUUCUGUAAGUCAGUCUGGAUAAGCACGUCUGCCAAAUGCCAUAAAUGUAAAUGUACCAUUAUAAAUAUAUCCUAAUACAGGGGAAUAUACACAUCACAUGUAAAUGCUCUUCUUAUAUCAGUAAUUUCUUAAGAUGAUCUAUACAGUAUGCAUAUGUACAUUUUCCUAAAGUAACAGGGUCCACACACACUUACUCUGCAUGAGGAUUUGUUCUCGCGAUUUGGUCGUGGCCGUGGUGAGGUUGGUCACGGGAGAAGCUGUGUUGGCUUGCAUCUUCACCAGUGUGCUGAAACAAGCAAAACAAAAUGCUUUAAAACUCAGUUUUACGAUUGAAAACAAUCCAAGACUGUGACCUUUGAGUUAAUAAGUGACUCAAUAUUACUUGAUAUUAUAAUCAUAAUGUAAUCUUUUAUUAAACAUUAUUUC
Ictalurus punctatus (channel catfish) is the source of this 1737-nucleotide long non-coding RNA. NCBI's taxonomy places the organism in Eukaryota, Metazoa, Chordata, Actinopteri, Siluriformes, Ictaluridae. The record is from Ensembl.